RNAcentral lists this unclassified non-coding RNA (237 nucleotides) under Hevea brasiliensis (rubber tree). Lineage: Eukaryota; Viridiplantae; Streptophyta; Magnoliopsida; Malpighiales; Euphorbiaceae. The record is from RNAcentral.
CGAUCCGAAACAAGUCCAUCUGCAACUCGACGGCAAGGCUGUCGCGUUGAAGAAGCGGUUCACGCUGACGGGUUCACGCUACACCGGCCGCGGCAUCACGCUGACGAUGAACAAGUCCGGCACCAUUCUGCGGCACGGCAAGCGCGGGCCGACCCGAUGCACCAGACAGGGAUAGCGUAGCGGCGUAACGAAACGCGCCGGCUCACACUGCCGCGGACGGCGGCUCUUUCUCGCCGU